ACAUCAAUGUCGAUGGUCACCAUCUCAGCGCUGUCGGGGCUCCAGAAGUCGACCUGCAGGGGGCGCCAUAGGCCAACACUUGAACGCAAAACCGAGACCCUCCGAAAGCAAAAUGUCAAAAGAGGCAGGUGACAGGUGCCGAUACGGUGACCUACUUACCUCCAACCCUCGCCUAGAUGUCCUGCGCCAACAGAGAUGGACAUUGACGGAUGAGGCAGCAUUGGUUGUCACCCCCCUAACCCCACCCAUCUCCUGCUAAAUCAUUUGGCCACACCCGCCGACGGUGCAAGCCUCACAGAAUGGCUGGUACCAUGUGGUACAAGUAUUGCUGAACUAUAACCAAGGAAAACAGUGCAACACACCGAGAUUCCCGCAACUGAAGAACUGGAUGAAGGGAAGAUGUUAUCCAUACUGUCUCCCAUGCAGUUGCAAUGUUAUCUUCACACGUGAAUGGACUCUACGUGCGUCGACAUAAGCCAAACAUCAAAACCGGUCCCAUGGUCGGAACAUGUGGUUUGAGUGAAGCUAUAGAAAGGCACAUGCUGAUCCCAGUACUUCACACAUUACGGACGUGAAAGGACCAUGGCUAUGCUAUCGGACGUUUGGGUGUACCUGCAGUGCUUGCGCUGUUUCAGAGGUAAGUGGGAAAGUGAAAGUGAUCCCCAUGAGGGGAAAAGCAAUGGAGAACCACUCUGUGAGCCGAUAACCCCAGCCACGCCCCAGGGCCCAAGCGCACUGUAUCUCCACCGAAGGCCCAAGAUAACCCAGUCCUUGCUACAGGUACGCACACACACAUUAACAAAGCAAGAACUAAAAGGAGCGACAUCAGCGCUAAUGGGCUGCUGGUAAA
Long non-coding RNA from Gadus macrocephalus (Pacific cod), 850 nucleotides. RefSeq lists it as uncharacterized. The record is from RefSeq and is a predicted model, not a curated record. The transcript has 4 exons. Lineage: Eukaryota; Metazoa; Chordata; Actinopteri; Gadiformes; Gadidae.